GGGAACGGCUGUGAAUUGGAGAGGCGUAUGGUCUGAAUUACAGAGAAGCUGCUGGAUCUGUUGAGAUUGGUGUCUGACAACUAGGUGUGCAAGGAAAGACUGGCUACCCCUUGAGCUAAUACUG
This is a long non-coding RNA of Sinocyclocheilus grahami, 124 nucleotides long. RefSeq lists it as uncharacterized. Lineage: Eukaryota; Metazoa; Chordata; Actinopteri; Cypriniformes; Cyprinidae. The record is from RefSeq and is a predicted model, not a curated record. The transcript has 2 exons.